This 377-nucleotide unclassified non-coding RNA is filed under the name uncultured Micrococcales bacterium. RNAcentral describes it as "contains 16S-23S intergenic spacer region". Lineage: Bacteria; Bacillati; Actinomycetota; Actinomycetes; Micrococcales. The record is from RNAcentral.
UCCGAGUUGACCCCGGCAGUCUCCCAUGAGUCCCCGGCAUAACCCGCUGGCAACAUAGGACGAGGGUUGCGCUCGUUGCGGGACUUAACCCAACAUCUCACGACACGAGCUGACGACAACCAUGCACCACCUGUAUACCGACCUUGCGGGGCGAACAUUUCUGAACGUUUCCGGUAUAUGUCGAGCCUUGGUAAGGUUCUUCGCGUUGCAUCGAAUUAAUCCGCAUGCUCCGCCGCUUGUGCAGGCCCCCGUCAAUUCCUUUGAGUUUUAGCCUUGCGGCCGUACUCCCCAGGCGGGGCACUUAAUGCGUUAGCUACGGCGCGGAAAACGUGGAAUGUCCCCCACACCUAGUGCCCAACGUUUACGGCAUGGACUAC